This is a long non-coding RNA of Plodia interpunctella (Indianmeal moth), 637 nucleotides long. RefSeq lists it as uncharacterized. The transcript has 2 exons. NCBI's taxonomy places the organism in Eukaryota, Metazoa, Arthropoda, Insecta, Lepidoptera, Pyralidae. The record is from RefSeq and is a predicted model, not a curated record.
GACUGAAUUCCUAACUAAUCAAUUAUAGCUAAAAAUUAACACAUAAUUCAGCGUAAAGUUUUUGCCAAGACUGGGUUUGCAUUAAGCAGGUACUCGUGCUAAUAUACUGACGUUAUGCUCUUUACAGGCGUAUUUCUUCUGCUAACUUUACGUUUAAUUGACUCAAGAUAUCACAUAGCAAUAUUGGAUGAUAAUAUCAGUGAUUUAAAACAACAGAGACUGCAAGAUUUAUACUAUGAUAUUCUAGAACACGAACGAGAUGAAUGUGAAUCUGAUAUUUGGGAUGGAUGUGACAAAGAUAACGAUUCUUGGCUCAACGAUCAUAGAGAUCCACGCGGCACUGACAGAUCGAAUCGAAACCGGAAAAAUCAUUUCAUCAAAUUGAAGUUUGGAGUAAAACCGAGUAAGGGAAAUAAAAUACCAAGCAAAAUGAAUUUGAACGAGGAUCGAUAUUGCUAUAAAUCACUUCAUACUUAAUCUAAAUUGUUUUCCGCUAAAUAUUUAUAACUUCUAUCGAAUUACUUGAAAAAUAAUUCCAAAUAAUCAGCAUUUCAAAAGUAGAACUCCUGUUGAUGUAAUUCACUGUAAUGUUCUAAUAUCUGUGAUGUAAAUCAAUAAAUUAAUUGGAUCACAUCUU